CGUAGGUGGCAAGCGUUGUCCGGAUUUAUUGGGUUUAAAGGGUGCGUAGGCGGCCCUGUAAGUCAGUGGUGAAAUAUCUCAGCUUAACUGAGAGGGUGCCAUUGAUACUGCGGGGCUUGAGUACAGAUGAGGUAGGCGGAAUUGACGGUGUGGCGGUGAAAUGCAUAGAUAUCGUCAAGAACACCGAUAGCGAAGGCAGCUUACCAAGCUGUAACUGACGCUGAGGCACGAAAGUGUGGGGAUCAAACAGGAUUAGACACCCUGGUAGUCCACACUGUAAACGUUGAUGACUCGAUGUUGGCGAUACACAGCCAGCGUCCAAGAGCAAUCGUUAAGUCAUCCACCUGGGGAGUACGCCGGCAACGGUG
This 368-nucleotide ribosomal RNA is filed under the name uncultured organism. RNAcentral describes it as "bacterial SSU rRNA". It matches the Rfam family "Bacterial small subunit ribosomal RNA", at positions 526 to 896 of the family's 1533-position model. The record is from RNAcentral.